Molecule: non-coding RNA, 399 nt
Organism: Rattus norvegicus (Norway rat)
Lineage: Eukaryota; Metazoa; Chordata; Mammalia; Rodentia; Muridae
Source: RefSeq, a predicted model, not a curated record
GGGACGUUUGGAAGUAGAGGCAGAAAGAAUACAUUUAUGGAGAGGCCGUACUAAAAAAGAAAGAUAAAUCAUGGAAUAAUUUAAAAAUCCUUAUUUCAUGUUGCUUAAAUAUGUUCCCUUUAAAGCUCCACAUUUAUUAUCUAAAUCAGAUGUAAGCUCUUAGCUACUGUUCCAGCAUCAUGCCUGCCUGCUUGAUAUGUUGUUCCCCACCAUGGUGAUCUUGGACUAACCCUCUGAAACUAGAGACUCUCCAAGAUUGUUUUCUCCUGAUGUUCAUAUCUUGUACCAUGCUUCCAUGCAAUCAUGAACUGUGAUUUGAUGGUAAACAUUUUUAGAAGAAUGUUGGUGCAUACUCCCAUGAUUAUGUUAUAUAUAAUUACAAUAUAUUUUCUGGAGAAA